GCUUGACUGGCUCAAUAGGUAGAGCAUAUGACUCCUGAUCUCAAGGUUGUGAGUUCAAGCCCCAUGUUGGGCA
This 73-nucleotide transfer RNA is filed under the name Canis lupus familiaris (dog). It matches the Rfam family "tRNA". Rfam says of the family: Transfer RNA (tRNA) molecules are approximately 80 nucleotides in length. Their secondary structure includes four short double-helical elements and three loops (D, anti-codon, and T loops). Further hydrogen bonds mediate the characteristic L-shaped molecular structure. tRNAs have two regions of fundamental functional importance: the anti-codon, which is responsible for specific mRNA codon recognition, and the 3' end, to which the tRNAs corresponding amino acid is attached (by aminoacyl-tRNA synthetases). tRNAs cope with the degeneracy of the genetic code in two manners: having more than one tRNA (with a specific anti-codon) for a particular amino acid; and 'wobble' base-pairing, i.e. permitting non-standard base-pairing at the 3rd anti-codon position. RNAcentral also lists the same sequence under 1 other name. Lineage: Eukaryota; Metazoa; Chordata; Mammalia; Carnivora; Canidae. The record is from Rfam by way of RNAcentral.